UACGGAAGGCAGCAGUGGGGAAUAUUGCACAAUGGGCGCAAGCCUGAUGCAGCCAUGCCGCGUGUAUGAAGAAGGCCUUCGGGUUGUAAAGUACUUUCAGUCGUGAGGAAGGUGUUAAGGUUAAUAACCUUAGCAAUUGACGUUAGCGACAGAAGAAGCACCGGCUAACUCCGUGCCAGCAGCCGCGGUAAUACGGAGGGUGCGAGCGUUAAUCGGAAUUACUGGGCGUAAAGGGCACGCAGGCGGUUAAUUAAGUUGGAUGUGAAAUCCCCGGGCUUAACCUGGGAAUGGCAUUCAAGACUGGUUAGCUAGAGUCUUGUAGAGGGGGUAGAAUUCCGAUGUGUAGCGGUGAAAUGCGUAGAGAUGUGGAGGAAUACCGGUGGCGAAGGCGGCCCCUGGACAAAGACUGACGCUCGAUGUGCGAAAGCGUGGGGAGCAAACG
RNAcentral lists this ribosomal RNA (442 nucleotides) under uncultured bacterium. Its description in RNAcentral is "bacterial SSU rRNA". It matches the Rfam family "Bacterial small subunit ribosomal RNA", at positions 340 to 774 of the family's 1533-position model. The record is from RNAcentral.